CCUCGCGGCGCCUGCUGCGCACAGCCUAACCCCGGGGCGUCUGGCGGGUGCCGCCGCCCUUGGCUCACUCGGCGCGUGGUCGGGAACAGCGGGCAGCACCUCGGACCCGGGCUUUCCGUUUUGGUUUUGUGUGUGGCGCAAGAGAAAGGCGGCGGAAAGGUGGAUUUGCGUGAGUGUGACGUGACCUUUCCUCUCUUUUGGCCGGAGGACUCGCACCUGCUGUUCUAGGAGACGGGGCGGCCGACGCGAGCGCGCGAGUUUACAGGUGAAGAAAGUAUAUCUCAGAGGAAUUAGAGAAGACCAGCAACUAAUAGAUGACAGUGCUAAGGCCUGGCUCUCCUGAAUCCUGAGUUAUGCCCAUAUCCAGUGACUGGUCUCAUGAGGGUGGAAAAGCCCAGCUCCCUGUGCCACUUCUGGAACACCCCGAAGAUGGAAUGAGCCCUCUCCCACUGGCCAGUCCUGCUUCCUCACUUCUUCACAGGUGUUGAUCCCAGGAGCGCGGCCCUGCACAUGUUCUCCACCUCAGAGACUGACCACAGGCAAACCGACCCACAGCAAUAUAUUUAGAAAUGGCAAUUAUUCCUAAAAGACCAAAGCAAAACCACCUCCUUUGGGAAGCUUUCUCUGAGUCCCUGUGCAACAUGAAUUCUGCUUCUGUUUCCUCUCCACUUCCAUAAUGUAGCAUCUGCAUUUCUACACAAGAAACGUCAGAUUUCUCUCUGCCAUGAAAUUGUAAAAUAUAAAAGGGACGAUAUCCUCUUCAUCUUUAUAUGCACCCCCCAAAUGUUUCCUAGAUCCUUGCUUUAAACUCAAUAAAUGCAGUUUGAUGUGAAAUUUCAUUGUUACAUUUCAUUUUACCCCCUAAUAAAUUUCAUUAAAUCUCUCAUAGACACAAACUAAUAAGGAUGCAUUCACACACAUAAAUACAUUUAGAUCCACACUCCUAAGAGCAGAAUGGGCAAGAGCUCAAUUUUGCUGGAGUUAAAAGAAAAUACUGUAGAAAGGAGACAGAGGAAGGGAGGGGAGGUGGGAAUGAGCAGGGAGGUGAGUUGGAGUGAGUGGGCAAGUAGGUGAGAGGGGGACUCGUCAGUGAAGUGGCCAGAGGAUGAGCGUGUAAGCAGCCCUGCCCAUAUAAAGCCGAAGGCUUGCUCUGCUUCAGACAAUGUCUGUCUUUUUCACACAUUUACAUUAUGGGUUGGAAAAACAGAUUCGCCACAGUCACAAACAAACUAGCUGAAACACGUAUGUGUAUAUCUAUUUCAAGAUGUAAGACAAGAUAUAACGUGUACUUGCUAUUCUCUUUGCCAUUUUCUCGUUUGGGGGAAAGCUCUAUUAAAUCCGAGUUGAUGAAUGGUGGUCCCCUGCUAAUCGUGAAAGUCCUGACUCGUAGGGAUCAGUGCAUAUGGAUCAACUGGGCAUCUUGUGAAGACAUAGAUUGUGAUUGAGUGGGCCCAAGGGUGGGGCCCCAGGUUCUGCUUCAGGUGAUGCUGAUUCUGCUGGUCUGUGGCCCAUACUUUGAAAUGCAAGGGACUGGAUGAUUUCUGGUAAUCCUUUCUAGUUCUUUUAUAACUGUUUUGUUGGGAAAACCUUCAACUUUUUGGAAGUAUUCUCCUGUGACUCACUUAUAGUUGAAUCUAUAGUUUUCAGGUGAAAACAAAAUAAGUCAUUGUGAAGCACGGAAUUAAAAAGGUAAGUAACAAUCCUAAAAAUAAUCCAGAUUUUCUUAAGGCAAU
This is a non-coding RNA of Microcebus murinus (gray mouse lemur), 1733 nucleotides long. The record is from RefSeq and is a predicted model, not a curated record. NCBI's taxonomy places the organism in Eukaryota, Metazoa, Chordata, Mammalia, Primates, Cheirogaleidae.